UUCUGGUCUGUGUGCUUAGACUCUAGGAGA
Molecule: non-coding RNA, 30 nt
Filed under: Drosophila erecta
Lineage: Eukaryota; Metazoa; Arthropoda; Insecta; Diptera; Drosophilidae
Also listed under: 1 other name
Source: RNAcentral